CACUCCUACGGGAGGCAGCAGUGGGGAAUAUUGCACAAUGGGCGCAAGCCUGAUGCAGCCAUGCCGCGUGUAUGAAGAAGGCCUUCGGGUUGUAAAGUACUUUCAGCGGGGAGGAAGGCGAUAAGGUUAAUAACCUUGUCGAUUGACGUUACCCGCAGAAGAAGCACCGGCUAACUCCGUGCCAGCAGCCGCGGUAAUACGGAGGGUGCAAGCGUUAAUCGGAAUUACUGGGCGUAAAGCGCACGCAGGCGGUCUGUCAAGUCGGAUGUGAAAUCCCCAGGCUCAACCUGGGAACUGCAUUCGAAACUGGCAGGCUAGAGUCUUGUAGAGGGGGGUAGAAUUCCAGGUGUAGAGGUGAAAUGCGUAGAGAUCUGGAGGAAUACCGGUGGCGAAGGCGGCCCCCUGGACAAAGACUGACGCUCAGGUGCGAAAGCGUGGGGAGCAAACAGGAUUAGAUACCCUUGUAGUCCCAUGA
RNAcentral lists this ribosomal RNA (475 nucleotides) under uncultured organism. Its description in RNAcentral is "partial 16S ribosomal RNA". It matches the Rfam family "Bacterial small subunit ribosomal RNA", at positions 334 to 800 of the family's 1533-position model. The record is from RNAcentral.